AAUAGAUACCCCGGUAGUCCACCCCGUAAACGUUGGGAACUAGUUGUGGGGUCCUUUCCACGGAUUCCGUGACGCAGCUAACGCAUUAAGUUCCCCGCCUGGGGAGUACGGCCGCAAGGCUAAAACUCAAAGGAAUUGACGGGGACCCGCACAAGCGGCGGAGCAUGCGGAUUAAUUCGAUGCAACGCGAAGAACCUUACCAAGGCUUGACAUACACCAGAACACCCUAGAAAUAGGGGACUCUUUGGACACUGGUGAACAGGUGGUGCAUGGUUGUCGUCAGCUCGUGUCGUGAGAUGUUGGGUUAAGUCCCGCAACGAGCGCAACCCUCGUUCUAUGUUGCCAGCACGUAAUGGUGGGAACUCAUGGGAUACUGCCGGGGUCAACUCGGAGGAAGGUGGGGAUGACGUCAAAUCAGUCAUGCCCCUUAUGUCUUGGGCUUCACGCAUGCUACAAUGGCCGUACAAAGGGCUGCAAUACCGUGAGGUGGAGCGAAUCCCAAAAGCCGGUCCCAGUUCGGAUUGAGGUCUGCAACUCGACCUCAUG
This 546-nucleotide ribosomal RNA is filed under the name uncultured bacterium. RNAcentral describes it as "bacterial SSU rRNA". It matches the Rfam family "Bacterial small subunit ribosomal RNA", at positions 777 to 1322 of the family's 1533-position model. The record is from RNAcentral.